Molecule: ribosomal RNA, 456 nt
Filed under: uncultured bacterium
Lineage: Bacteria
Description: bacterial SSU rRNA
Rfam family: Bacterial small subunit ribosomal RNA
Source: RNAcentral
UACGGAAGGCAGCAGUGGGGAAUAUUGCACAAUGGGCGAAAGCCUGAUGCAGCUAUGCCGCGUGUAUGAAGAAGGCCUUAGGGUUGUAAAGUACUUUCAUCGGGGAGGAAAAACAAAACUAAUAAUUUUAUUUCUUGACGUUACCCGAAAAAGAAGCACCGGCUAACUCCGUGCCAGCAGCCGCGGUAAUACGGAGGGUGCUAGCGUUAAUCAGAAUUACUGGGCGUAAAGAGCACGUAGGUGGUUUUUUUAAGUCAGAUGUGAAAUCCCUGGGCUUAACCUAGGAACUGCAUUUUGAAACUGAAAUACUAGAGUAUCGUAGAGGGAGGUAGAAUUCUAGGUGUAGCGGUGAAAUGCGUAGAUAUCUGGAGGAAUACCUGUGGCGAAAGCGGCCUCCUAAACGAAUACUGACACUGAGGUGCGAAAGCGUGGGGAGCAAAACAGGGAUUAGAUACC